This 1271-nucleotide long non-coding RNA is filed under the name Heterocephalus glaber (naked mole-rat). Its description in RNAcentral is "lncRNA (ENSHGLG00000040555.1)". Lineage: Eukaryota; Metazoa; Chordata; Mammalia; Rodentia; Bathyergidae. The record is from RNAcentral.
CUUGCUAUGAACUCCUGAUAUGUUAUGAUUCAUACUUUCACUUCUGUUUCUUAAUACUAUCAUUUUGAAAAAGUGAAAAUGAAACUGUUUCAUUGGUGAACAGUUCACAAGGGAGAAGAAAAGUCCUUCUGCCUCACCAUCCUAGAGCACUGGGAUUACAAGAAUGCACCGUCAUGGCUGGAUACACACAGGUAUGAGGUGGCCUGGACAUCUGAGGUAGCCCGGACAUCUGAGGCACCAGAGACCUUCCACUUAGAGAAGACCACAGAGUUACAUCCACGUGUUCCAGAGCAUUAGGUGGAUUGCAAGGAAGUACAAUUUCUCUUUGCCUCUUUCAGAAGAAAUACAUAGUUUUAACUGCAUGAAUCUUCUCCAAAUGGGCAAAAUUUAAAAGAUUUUUUUAAACAAAGGUCAUACUAAAAUGCAAGAAUUUUCACUGCUGAAAGGCAACAUUUUCACUGUUGCCAGUUAUCCUCAUGGUGCAGUCCUGAGUACCUGGAAUCCCAGCUAUACAAGAGGCUGAAGCAGGAGUAUCACGAGUCCAGACUAGAGACAGCAGAGCCAGACCUCAUCUCAAGAGCUAUAAAAGAAAACAACAAGAGGAAAACCAGCAAAAAACAGCCAAGCUCCACUGCCUUCAAAAUAAUAAGUCAGAAGUUACUUGUGUUUUGAUAGUAACCAUGAAGAAGAGUAUAAACAAAGAUAUUCAUUAUGAAGUAGAUUACUGUUGAAGAGAUUUUGCUGCCAGGAGUGGAGCACCUUUCCUGUGCCAUGCCCUUCUGCCGUGAUGCCUCUGCUUUGCAGUCAGCUGACCAUGGACUAAAAUCCCUGAAACUCUGAGCUAAAAUAAAUCUUUCCUCCCUUAAGUUGUGGGUGUCAGAUAUUUUGUCAGGACAGCGAAAAGGUGGCCAAUAUGCAAGAUGUUUAAAUUCUGGAGAUCUCACGUAAAGUAAAGUGACAGUACUGCAUUGUACACUUGAAAUUUGCUGAGAGUGGAUCUUAAGUGUUCUCACCAAACACAAUAAAGUAGCUACAUGAUGGUGUGCACCUGUUAUUUAGCUCAGUUGUAGUGGUCAUUUCAUAAUGUACACAUAUAUCAAAGCAUCAUGUUGUACUAUAUAUAUAUAUAUAUAUAUAUAUAUAUAUAUAUAUAUAUAAUUUUCAUUUGUAAUUCAUGCCUCAGUAAAGCUGGGAAGAAAAUCCUAAAGAGAAAAUCAAUAAAUGAGUAAAAACAUAAAGUAAAAAUUUGUAAAGCUUAAAACUGUCAAUAA